Felis catus (domestic cat) is the source of this 5132-nucleotide RNA transcript. It is a transcript of the gene named DNA damage regulated autophagy modulator 1, with no coding region annotated. The record is from RefSeq and is a predicted model, not a curated record. Lineage: Eukaryota; Metazoa; Chordata; Mammalia; Carnivora; Felidae. The transcript has 8 exons.
CCUCCACGCUCUAGGUUUCCUUGUGGGCAGCAUCCAGGUGGGUGUCACGUCCGUGCCCCGUGAGUUGGCGAACGUCACCGUACUUCUGACCCGACCCCUGCAGGCAGCAGCAGCAGCAGCCGCGGGAUGGGGUGGGUGUCGCCUCGCGGGUGCCACGCUCUCCCCCCCGCGACUGGCAGGUGGCCGUACCACGGAGGGGAAGCCCCUGGGGUUCGAGGCCCAGCAUCCUGGAAACCCCGAGGGAAGAAGGAGGGCCCGGGAGGACCUGAUCGUUAUUCCCGAGUUGCUCAAGAGCUGCGGAGGCCGGGCCGGCUGGGACGGCCCCGGGCAUCCCCGCCCUCCCGCGCCGACCCCCGCCGAGUCUGAACCAAAAGCGAAAGGAGUCCGGCGCCGCGAGGAGGUCGCCGCGCGCCUCCAAGCCCGCGGGGGCCGCCGUUUUGUGACUUCACCGGUUUCGCAACAAGCCCGGGCCAACCGCGCCCCACCCACCCCCGGCCGGCCGCCUCGCCGCCCGACGCCUCGCUGGGCUCUCCGCGCCUUCCUCCGUCCGAGGCCGGGCCUGCCCCGCCGUCGCGGAGCCUCCCGUCCGGCCGCCGCCUGCGGGCCAGCACGUGCGCGACUCCCGCGCCCCGCGUCCCGCGCCGCGCCCCGCUGGGCGCAGCGCCCUCCCGGCGGCGGCGCGAUGCUGUGCUUCCUGAGGGGAAUGGCCUUCGUGCCCUUUCUUCUGGUGACCUGGUCGUCCGCCGCCUUCAUCAUCUCCUACGUGGUCGCGGUGCUCUCGGGGCACGUCAACCCCUUCCUACCCUACAUCAGUGAUACAGGAACAACACCUCCAGAAAGUGGUAUUUUUGGAUUUAUGAUAAACUUCUCUGCAUUUCUUGGUGCAGCCACAAUGUACACAAGAUACAAAAUAGUAGAGAAGCAAAAUCAAACCAGCUAUUUCAGCACGCCUGUUUUUAACCUGGUGUCGCUAGUUCUUGGAUUGGUGGGAUGUAUCGGAAUGGGCAUUGUAGCCAAUUUCCAGGAGUUAGCUGUCCCCCUGGUCCAUGACGGCGGUGCCCUUUUGGCUUUUGUCUGUGGUGUGGUCUACACACUCCUGCAGUCCGUCAUCUCUUACAAAUCGUGUCCCCAGUGGAACAGCCUCUCCACGUGCCACGUGCGGAUGGCCAUCUCUGCCGUUUCCUGCGCAGCUGUGGUCCCCAUGAUCGCCUGUGCUUCACUAAUUUCUAUAACCAAGCUGGAAUGGAAUCCAAAAGAAAAGGAUUAUAUAUAUCACGUAGUGAGUGCAAUCUGUGAAUGGACAGUGGCCUUUGGUUUUAUUUUCUACUUCCUAACAUUCAUCCAUGAUUUCCAGAGUGUCACCCUAAGGAUAUCCACAGAAAUCAAUGAUGAUAUUUGAAGAAAGAAGAAUUAUAUGUCACUCAGUGAAAGUCGCAGGCAAUUUCUGGAAGUGGUACAGAGGAGGAUCUUAAUGCUGCCCUGUGUGGAACGCAUCUGCAGUACAUCCGGGACGUGAAUUUCAUUAAGAAUUCCCAAUAGUUGUACUAUUUCCAAAGGUCAUUUACUGUGCCUCCCAUGAGAAGAUUUUAGGUCCCUACCUCAUUGGAUUUGGAUUUAGCCAUGUGAUGUGCUUUGGCCAAUUAAAUGUGAGUAAACUUGGCAUUCACCAUGUUGGAGCAGAAGGUUUAAGAUUCAUCUUGAGUUUUGGCCAGUUCUCUUGCUCUUUCCCAGAUAUGUCCCAUGUAGGGACUGCUCUUUUGGCCUGGGUCCUGAAGUGAGAAGACAGCAGAGUCUAGGGUGUGAGGUAAUAAAAAUAUGUAUAUAUGGAUCCCUGCUCCUGGUUCUUGGCAAAGAGCACCUAAAAUCUUAUAAUUCCCUAAGUGAUUGAAGCACUGGCAGCACCUUUUGUUUCAAUAUUUGGUCUUUGAUCCCCAUUCCUGACAUUGAACUCCUAAAUGCCUUGGAAUUUCCUAAGUGAUAGCAGUGUCUUUGUUCUAUGAGGUAACUCUUGGUGGGGGGGCUGGUCACCAGAAAGACCGAGCCAUGGUUAGAAGCUUGGAAGAGGGGAGAAGGGCUAGAAAUGAGUUAAUGAUUGAUCAUACCCAGAUGAUGAGGCCUCCAUAAAAAAUCUCAAAAGUAUGGGGGUACAGAGAGCUUCUGGAUCAGAGAACACUUGGGGCACUGGGAGAGUGGCAUGCUCAGAGAGAGCAUGGAGGUUCUGUGCUCCUCCCCAUGCCCUUAUCCAUUCAUCUGCAUCCUUUAUCACAUCCUUUUAUAAUAAACUGAUAAACAGGAAGGACACGGUUUCCUGAGUUCUGUGAACCACUCUAGCAAAUUAAUUCUGAGGAGCGGGUGGUGGGAACCUCUGACCUAUACCUGAUCGGUCAGGAGCCCAGGUGAGAACUUGGACUUGUACUGGCAUCUGUGGCGGUGGCAGAAGUGGUCUUGUGGGACCGAGCCUUCACCUGUGGGAUCUGAUGCUGUCUCUAGGACGAUAGUGUCAGAAUUGAGUUGCAUUGUAGGACACCCAGCUGGUGCCACAGAAUUGCUUGGUGCAGGAAGCGCCCCCACAUCUGGUAGCACAAGUGAGUGUGGUGGUGAGGAUAAAGGGAGACACACAGCAGGAAGGGCGAGUUUUUCCUACUCACACAGCCUGGCGAAAAUCUUAGCCAAUCUCAGGCUCCAGACAGCAUGAAGAAGAAAUAAACCAUUGUCUUGUCAGUUGCUGAGAUUUGGGGGGUUUGUUAACACAGCAAACCUAGAAAAAUUCCUUUUUUACUUUAAAAGACAUACUAAAAAAUAUGGCCAUCAGUUACUCGUAAGUCACCAAAUUCCAAGUCCGACCUGUACACCAUACUGCUUUCUUCUUUAUCCCACGCCAUUCUCUCUUUUGCCUCCCCUUUCAGUUACAGGGUAGACUUCUACAAAGACACAUUGUCCUGAAACAAAAAGAUCCAAAUCUGCCCCAGUCCUCUUAUAAAGGCACAUUCCCAUUUGCUGGGGAUGUACCAGGGUUGCCACACUUUUGAGCCCAAGGACAGGUGAGAAAGUAGCUCAUCUUUUCUUUAGUAAUAUUUUAGCUUUGGCAGAGAGUAUGGCAUGAUUCAGAAAGUCACCAACCAGCACAGAAUUGUCAUUCCAUAUUAAAAUAGGAGUGUUUCAUCCAAAACCUGACUGGGGGUAUUCAUAAACCACAUGUAGAGGGGUUGAUCAUUUACACACAAUAUACUCAUUUCUUCAAAGAAAAUGUGGUUUUCUUAUUUUUCUAGAAAACUACCUAAGCUGCCUUAUGAGCCCCAUCCUGCUGAGUAAUAAGGACACUUAGAUUUAAGUACCUCAGUGUCUGUUCCCUGUCUUUUCCUCCAGAAUGCUUAUUAAGUACACAGAUUUGCUUAUUGUAUGGCUGUGGUGGUGAGCAGGUGGGAACUCAGAUCCCCGCUAUUCCUUGGAUCUUCACUGUCUUCGAAGAAAUUAUUUCCUGGUGUACCUGGUUAUGCCUUGCUUUGCUGCUACCUUCUGUGGACAUCUGGGGCUAGAAUACUCCAGGUCUGCUGUUUCUCACCUGAGUCAGGGCCUGGAGUCCUGGUUAACUUGCCUCAUCUCAGUUUUCUGGGGUUGCCUAUUCCUUUGAAGUGUAGACGGGAUUUCCAUUUGAGUUCCAGCUCAGGUGAUCUGCCCUACAGGCCCCACUUUGGUAACUCUCCACUGAGUUUGCCAGCAACACCAUCAACUACCUUCUGUGCCCUUCACUGGGUCCUUAAAGGACUCCUGGGUAAUCUGCAUGCUAGAUGGGAGCUGAAGUUGCCUCACCUCAUGUGGCAGCCCAGGCUGGUAGAGGGGGGCACUCUGUUUCAUUCCAAUUGCUACCCUUGUGCAGAAGAGGAAAGAUACAAGCUAGACUUCCUGCCCUUGGCCUUGGGUGAAGGUCAUGAAAGGAAGUGGGCCACAGCCCAAAAAUUGGAAAUGAGGGCUCUGUGGGCUCAAACCGGAACAAGAUUCUCUCCUGCUUCUCUGAGAGCCAUGCUUGGGCCAUGUUUGGGAGCAUAUUUCCCAUCUGUUUUUCAUUUCCCCAGCAUAGAAUGUGGGAGGCCAGGAUCACAAAACAUUCCCUUCUCAUUCCCCAGAUGCCUCUGAACUCUCUUCCUUGAAUUUUUUGUUCCAAUCCAUGCUGAAUUACUUGAAUGGCUCCCAGCACACACCAUGCUCUUUAAUCCUUCUGAGCCUAUGCCUAUGCUGUUUUCUCUGCCCAGAUUGCCCCUCUAACACUCAUUUCUCUUGAAAACUUCUACUUCUCCCCAAGACACUGCCCAGGAUUCUUCCUCCAACAUGCUCACUUCCCUCUUGGAAGUUUGUACCACGAACUUCACUAAAGAGAUAUUUUGGUGUCUGUCUUCAUCAUGAGAGCUUAAGGCACUGAGGCUCAGGGAUCCCAGUUGGGACAUCUUUGUUGUCCUGAUGGCUGGCACAGAAAAUGUGUUCAAUGAAUGUUGGUUUAAAAAAUUAAAUCUUGAUAAAUCUUGGUAAAGGGUGAAAAGUAUAUCUUUCAGCAUGUGAAUCUGCAAUUAUCUCAAGGUAAAAAGAUUUGGUUAAAAACACCUUAAUGAGAAACACCAAUUAUUCUUUAAAUCUCCCUGGCUACCCACUGGGAGAGGACCCGAGUUUAAAAAUCCAAGGUCUUUAUGAAGUUGUCAUUUCCAAAUGGGGGAUGGAUAGCUCAAGCUCUUAGUAGUCAGGUGUCCUGUACCCCACUUGCCCUCAGAACAAUCAAGCCCUGAAUGGCUUUGAGGGAAGGUGAGACACCAGCCAGCACAUACAAAUUAUAACAAUUAUAAAAAGGAGCUCUCUCAGGCAGAGGAAUUGGGAAAAAUCGACUCCUUUUGGCUUCCUUCCUCCAGGAAGCUAAGAGAGGUGUAUAAACAAGCUAAGAGAGGUGUAUAAACCCAAGUUAAGUAUCCCCUCCCUGCUCCAGCCCUGCACUUGUGUGUAAAGCCUAACCUGAACAAAGCAGCUCCAGCCUGAAUAUUUCCCUAGGUUUGCCAUCUUACUUCAAAGGGCCAAUGGUUGUGUUUCCAGGCACUUGGACUGCUUGCUCGUGUUGAAACAUUACUUGUGGGUAUAAAUAUAUUGUGGGU